RNAcentral lists this ribosomal RNA (325 nucleotides) under uncultured eukaryote. RNAcentral's name for it is "partial 18S ribosomal RNA". It matches the Rfam family "Eukaryotic small subunit ribosomal RNA", at positions 1470 to 1796 of the family's 1831-position model. The record is from RNAcentral.
CCCUUAGAUGUUCUGGGCCGCACGCGCGCUACACUGAUGCAUUCAACGAGCCUAUCCUUGACCGACAGGUCCGGGUAAUCUUUGAAUCUGCAUCGUGACGGGGAUAGAUUAUUGCAAUUAUUAAUCUUCAACGAGGAAUGCCUAGUAGGCGCACGUCAUCAGCUUGCGUCGAUUACGUCCCUGCCCUUUGUACACACCGCCCGUCGCUCCUACCGAUUGGGUGUGCUGGUGAAAUGUUCGGAUCGGCCGUUUGUCGCGGUUUCCGCGUCAUGUGGCUGAGAAGUUCAUUAAACCCUCCCACCUAGAGGAAGGAGAAGUCGUAACA